This 365-nucleotide ribosomal RNA is filed under the name uncultured eukaryote. RNAcentral describes it as "partial 18S ribosomal RNA". It matches the Rfam family "Eukaryotic small subunit ribosomal RNA", at positions 592 to 975 of the family's 1831-position model. The record is from RNAcentral.
CAAUAGCGUAUAUUAAAGUUGUUGCAGUUAAAAAGCUCGUAGUUGAAUUUCUGGUGGGCGCGCCGGUCUUCCAAGUGUUGUACUGGGCGCAGUCCGCCAUCCUUGUGGAGAGGGCUCGCAUUGAGUUGCGUGUCGGAUCUGCAUCAUUUACUGUGAAAAAAUUAGAGUGUUUAAAGCAGGCUGUCGCUUGAAUACAUUAGCAUGGAAUAAUAAGAUAGGACUUCGGUCUAUUUUGUUGGUUGCGAACCGAGGUAAUGAUUAAUAGGGAUAGUUGGGGGUAUUCAUAUUUAAUUGUCAGAGGUGAAAUUCUUGGAUUUAUGAAAGAUGAACAACUUCGAAAGCAUUUACCAAGGAUGUUUUCAUUA